This 72-nucleotide transfer RNA is filed under the name Heterocephalus glaber (naked mole-rat). It matches the Rfam family "tRNA". From Rfam's summary of the family: Transfer RNA (tRNA) molecules are approximately 80 nucleotides in length. Their secondary structure includes four short double-helical elements and three loops (D, anti-codon, and T loops). Further hydrogen bonds mediate the characteristic L-shaped molecular structure. tRNAs have two regions of fundamental functional importance: the anti-codon, which is responsible for specific mRNA codon recognition, and the 3' end, to which the tRNAs corresponding amino acid is attached (by aminoacyl-tRNA synthetases). tRNAs cope with the degeneracy of the genetic code in two manners: having more than one tRNA (with a specific anti-codon) for a particular amino acid; and 'wobble' base-pairing, i.e. permitting non-standard base-pairing at the 3rd anti-codon position. Lineage: Eukaryota; Metazoa; Chordata; Mammalia; Rodentia; Bathyergidae. The record is from Rfam by way of RNAcentral.
UGUGGUGUAGCUCAGUGGUAGAGUGCUUGUUUCAAAUGCACAAUGCACUGGAUUCAGUUUCCAGUGCUGCAA